This 3601-nucleotide ribosomal RNA is filed under the name Triticum aestivum (bread wheat). RNAcentral describes it as "partial small subunit ribosomal RNA". The stretch from base 2283 to 2417 matches the Rfam family "MIR1120/MIR1122 microRNA precursor family". Lineage: Eukaryota; Viridiplantae; Streptophyta; Magnoliopsida; Poales; Poaceae. The record is from RNAcentral.
AAAAAAACUCAUUCCUCAAAAAAAAGAAACACUCCUCCCCAGAUGCGCCGCUGCACCCACUCCCAUCGAUACGCCGCCGUCCCCGUCUCCAUGCUCCACCGCCGCCCCCCGUCUCCAUGCUCCAUCGCCGCCCCCACCUCUCCCACCUGACGUUUGUGCUUCUAGAUCGAAGCCCAUGACGACGGCGCUCCCAGGUCGGUGACGCGACACUCCUGGAUCGUCCUCAUCAAGGAAGCGCGGCUUCCAGCCAACUAUGACCAAGAGAGGCCCCCGGAUCUGCGCUCCCGCGGCUGACGGCGGCCAUGACGAGGCUGCUCUAGAGCACCCCCUCCCCGGCGGCGAGAGAUUGGCCUCCACGUACAUGGAGUUGACCCCGGUUUUCAGGGAUGGUGCUGCUAGCGUUCAACACCAUGGACGGACGGAUGCUGGGCAGAACCCAGGCCAUGACAAUGCAGGCACAUAUCAAGGAUUCUCGACACCCUCAACUGAAGCUCCAACUCAAUUACUUCCCGUGCUGGACAUUGCUCCAACAUCGUCGUUCCGUCCAUGCUUCGAAUUGAUGGGUUGCCGUUCUGCCGACCUUGCCGGAAUCAAGUCUGCCCGUGCUCCAGCCAAGAUACGUCAUUUCGGGUGCUCGAGCAGUACUAAUUUAUAUUCAUGCUGCUAAUUUAACGAUUAUUUUGGUCGUGCCUAUCGAUUGGCCUGCGAGUGUCAAUUUGUUUUCCAGUGAACUUAAUCUUUCUUAUUUUCAUGAUUAGCAAAAUCAUUGCAGACCGCUUGUUUGUUGUCUGAACAAAAGACAUCUGUGAAAAUUCGAUAGAGCCUUGGACCGAGUUUACAUCUGUUAUCAUCUGUGUUCGAAAUUUGAUUUAGGUCUAUAGGAAAAGGCUAAGCUAAACCAUGUUACUACACAACAGCCAAAAGUUUGACUGAUAUAUAUCAGUAAUAUGGUACUAUCUUGACUGGUGAAUUCAGAACUGAUGCUUGCUACGUGCUACUAAUUUUCAUACUGAUAGACUUAACCAAAUAAUGUAUCAGUUGGGUAAAGUAAUCCAUUGCCCUUCUAGGAAAAUUUCAGCAAUUAGCCAGAAUCCAAUGCCACCCAUGGUUAGUAUUGUGGGUGUCCAUUAGUACUACCAACGUACUGUAGCCAGAUACAAGUAGUACAGACAGGUACUAAUCAGCGUCGCUCUGCAUCCUAAUUUCACAGUGAACUUGCCGCUGAUCAAUUACAGUUCUAUAACAAUGGUGAAAAUCUCACAUUUUCUCUUGGCAGAAAACAGUUUACAGAGCAUAGCCAAUUAAUGUUUUGUAUGAAUCAGAGCUUGAUAAUUAAUUCAUCUGAAGAUAAAUUGGUUGUAGUUUGACUGUCUGCAUCGUUGUUGCUUCCUUAUUUUAUAAAUCUUCAUCCUAGAAUAUGUACUAAGCACACACUAGGUUGAUUCGGCUAUUGUAGAACUCUACAUUUUAUUAUACAAAAAUAUUUCUGUUGUUUUUCAGCUUAGUGGAAAAGUUCGUUCGAAGCUUUGACUAGCAUCCAACCAGAGGAAUACCAUGAAAGCUUAGUGGAAAAGUUCGUUCGAAGCUUUGACUAGCAUCCAACCAGAGGAAUAACAUGAAAGGUUAGCAGUCUUAUAAGUUUAGAAGUGUGGCAUGGGUAGGGAUUUUGUUUUUCUGGUAACACAGUACUUGGUCAGGUUUUAGAGUGUGGUCCCAGGUCUCAUAGUAUUGAAAGCUUUGCUAUAUUUUGGAGAAAUUAUAUACUCCCUCCGUUCCUAAAUAUAAGUCUUUGUAGAAAUUCCACUAUACACCACAUACGGAUGUAUAUAGACAUACUUUAUAGUAUACAUUCACUCAUUUUGCUCCGUAUGUAGUCCAUAGUGCACUCUCUACAAAGAUUUAUAUUUAGGAACGGAGGGAGUAGCUGUUAUCUUGGUAAAACCUCCUAUGACCCUGUUUGGCAGCUCUCCGCUCGUCAGCUCCGCUCCUCGAGCAGCCGGAGCAUCAUCGAACAAGUCAACUCUGCGUUUACUUCGUCCCAGAGCGGAGCGGCCUGCAGGCCAUUUUCUUGGAGUCGCCAAAGUGUCGCUCCUUGCGUUCCUGUAUUUCACGAAGCUGGUGGAUUGCCGAAUAAAUAAUGUUAUUGCUACUUUGUUAAGUGUUUAAGCAUGCCUACUAUGAUCCUGCGCUUCUUACUCUUUGUGCAUGGCUUGAUGUCAAAACACCAAACUUAACAUUUGCUUGAUUAAUUCAGUCCAGCCUUUGUUUUGUUUUUGAACUAACUAUUACUCCCUCCGUUCCGAAUUACUUGUCUUAGAUUUGUCUAGAUACGGAGGUAUCUAGCACUAAAAUGAGUCUAGAUACAUCCGUAUCUAGACAAAUCCAAGACAAGUAAUUCGGAACGGAGGGAGUACAUGGUUUUCUUGUUAUGCUUGGAUAAUUAGAGUAUUCUAAAUUGAAAUUAUCCUGUCUUUUGUAUGUAAUUCACUUGCAUGGAAGGAUUAAUUCAACGCAUGUAUUCACGACAAAGUAUAUCCCAUACAGCAGAUCACUUCUCACAACAAGAUUACACCAAAAUGAUUUAGCAUUAUUGGGUUUUACUAAACUGAAACAAUGUAGCAUUGUAUCAAUAUUGUUCUGCUUUCCUAAUUUAAUAGAAUAUUUAACUGAGAAUGAUAAGUAUGCAGUGAUUUAUGUCCUUCAGCGUGCGUAAUGUUGUUAGCUACUACUUUACAUAAAUAACCACUGUACUCUAUUCUAUGUGAAAUCGACAUGUUUGCAUGUUGUUAACCAUCUGGCAAAGAGGCUCACUGGAUGUUUCUUAUUAUAUUCUAUCUGUAAUAGACAUGUACGCAUGUCUUUAACUAUCUGGCAAAGAGGCUCAUUGGAUGUUCCAAAAUUUACCUUUAUAGAACAUCAUUUGUUUUCUUCUGAAUCGAGAGGUUCAAAGCCAAUAUGUUGCCAGAUCAUUCACUGUGUGUUUGUGGGCAAACUUUUACUUUCGAAGGAGGCGCGGACUAUUGCCACUCCUUCCCUUCGCUUGCAAUAAAUUCUUGAAGGAACCAUGCAACCUAGCUGUGUCAUCUGUGUGUUUUAAAUUAGUUUCAUCUCUGGCUGGAUUGUGCUGAACUCCGCAUGUAAAACAUUUUAUGUCAUAUAUUUUGCACAGAGCUCACAUACACUGUUAAAAAAACAUUAUUUUAAUGUAUCUAAAUUUGUAUUCAUUUGUGCAGGAGAAUGAUUUCUCAAUGUCUGCCUGCACACAACCAGGUUCACUAGAUGAGUGUGUGCAGGACACUACAAUCUGAAGAAUUAGCUCCUACAAAAUAGAUCCUCCACGUGGUUGUUGUGAAUGUUUGCGGCACAAUUCAAAAUUCAUAAUGCUCCAAAGUUAUUGUGGUGAUCUGAUUUAAAGCUUUUAAAUAAUGGAUUGUACAAAUAAGCAUUUGAAUUUGUACUCAAGGUCGUGAUUCAUUUUGCUUUUUUGAGUAUUUCACAAGCCUAAGAUUGACGGAUGAGAUUUAAAAGAGAUUGACGGCUGAGAUUUUUGUGUUAUAUAGUAGGAUCUUUUAGCUGUCCAUCCGUCACAGGCUCACAGCCC